GACGAACGCUGGCGGCGUGCUUAACACAUGCAAGUCGAACGAAGUGGCGAACGGGUGAGUAACGCGUAAUCAACCUGCCCUUCAGAGGGGGACAACAGGUGGAAACGACUGCUCAUACCGCAUACUGAAGGAGGGGAUUGCGUCUGAUUAGCUAGUUGGAGGGGUAACGGCCCACCAAGGCGAAGAUCAGUAGCCGGGCUGGGAGGAGGAACGGCCACAUUGGGACCGAGGAACGGCCCAGACUCCUACGGGAGGCAGCAGUUGGGAAUCUUCCGCAAUGGAAGAAAGUCUGGCGAAGCAACGCCGCGUGAGUGAUGACGGCUUUCGGGUUGUAAAGCUCUGUUAAUCGGGACGCGGUACCGGAAUAGAAAGCCACGGCUAACUACGUGCCAGCAGCCGCGGUAAUUC
This 408-nucleotide ribosomal RNA is filed under the name uncultured bacterium. RNAcentral describes it as "partial 16S ribosomal RNA". It matches the Rfam family "Bacterial small subunit ribosomal RNA", at positions 28 to 526 of the family's 1533-position model. The record is from RNAcentral.